This 369-nucleotide ribosomal RNA is filed under the name Triticum aestivum (bread wheat). RNAcentral describes it as "partial small subunit ribosomal RNA". Lineage: Eukaryota; Viridiplantae; Streptophyta; Magnoliopsida; Poales; Poaceae. The record is from RNAcentral.
AUGAUCUGUAUGAGUGAUCUUGAUGGCAUCCUCUAUGAUGCUGAUAUAUAUAAUGGUAGUGUUAAUUAUUUUCGUAUGUCUACUUUCCGUUCCUUGAUCAAAAACUAUGGGUUCUUUAAAAUUGGUUAUAGUGGUCCUGCUUAUACUUGGCGUAAUAGGCAAUAUACGACUAAUCCUAUUUAUCAACGUUUAGACUGUUGCCUUAUUAAUUCUGAUUGGUGUGCUUACUAUCCUAAUACCAAAGUGCUUAAUUUACCCAUCAUCCUUAGUGAUCAUGCUCCCAUUCUUAUAUCCACUGAUGGUAAUUUCUCUGAACCUAAAAAAACUUUCAAAUUUGAAAAUUGGUGGCUGCUUGAGCAAGAUUUUUAG